UUGGUUGCUCCUAGUUGGAGUGUGUGCGAAUUCUCCAAUGAGAAUUUCGCCCAAUGAUGAUUGGGUCUACGAUGCGAGCGAGAGACGCUAUGCGUAGUGCGACGGGUUUAGACAGUAGGCCUACGUGGUGUUGGUGACCGCUGGUCUACCUGUGGAAGCCGACGUAAUCGGUUUAGCCGAUAACUCCGUGGAGGAGUUGGUGCAAGGGAAGUAGAUUCUCAAAAUGCGAGAGUUGGACUUCACUCAAAAUCGACUAAUUGUCGAGUGGGGGUGCUUCGUGAAAGCCGAAGAAGUUAAAUGCACCAAAAGUGCAUUACAAUGGAGUCCGCGAGAGCAAAUGGUGCAAGAUUCUGCACUUGGCAGAAUUGCUCUCGGGGACCGGUCCCUCCACCAGGGACCGGUUCCCGAACGUUGUCUACGCGAGCUUGCUCUCGGGGACCGGUCCCAGGAGGGAGGGACCGGUUGCCCCGAGGCUGAGGGCUGUGGCAAGCGCGAGGCAACCGGUCCCUAGGCCAGAGGGACCGGUUCCCGAACGCGUGAGAUUGAGGAGGUCCCUCUGGGACCGGUCCCAGGCAGGGAGAGACCGGUCCCCGAGCAUGAAAUUUGCCCAGGCAGGCUGGGUCAUGUUGGAGAGGUUGGAGAGCUUGAGGAUAAUGCUCUUUUAUGGAUUAAGAUUCGAGAUGUGCCGGAGUAGGCCAUCUCUUAAUAGAGCAAGGAUCCAAAUGCGAUUGGAGCACUCGCAGUGGGUCGAUGCACCAAUGAUGUUGCUUCUAAGCGAUAUUGGUGAUCGAAUUAGAGUGUGACCCCUAGAGGGAUAGUGAAAGUGACGAAGAGUCGUAAAUAAGAAAUACGAACUCUUGGAUAGCCAAAGUGGCGGAGCGCCGCUUUGUUGACACUCAGGUGAUUCGAGAGGGCUUACCCGUGUGUGCUGUGUCGUGGUGGUGGACCAUAUGACUAUUGGUGCGUUUUUGAUAGCUCCACACCAUGAGGAUAGCGGGUAGUCCCGGUCUCGAAGGAAGUGGUUUGGCCUUAGUGGGCCAAUUAGUGAAUGGUGU
This 1055-nucleotide long non-coding RNA is filed under the name Ananas comosus (pineapple). Its description in RNAcentral is "long non-coding RNA (ACOM_LNC024315)". Lineage: Eukaryota; Viridiplantae; Streptophyta; Magnoliopsida; Poales; Bromeliaceae. The record is from RNAcentral.